Molecule: ribosomal RNA, 492 nt
Filed under: uncultured bacterium
Lineage: Bacteria
Description: partial 16S ribosomal RNA
Rfam family: Bacterial small subunit ribosomal RNA
Source: RNAcentral
AGUGAACGCUGGCGGUAGGCCUAACACAUGCAAGUCGAACGGCAGCACAGUAAGAGCUUGCUCUUACGGGUGGCGAGUGGCGGACGGGUGAGGAAUACAUCGGAAUCUACUUUUUCGUGGGGGAUAACGUAGGGAAACUUACGCUAAUACCGCAUACGACCUACGGGUGAAAGCAGGGGAUCUUCGGACCUUGCGCGAUUGAAUGAGCCGAUGUCGGAUUAGCUAGUUGGCGGGGUAAAGGCCCACCAAGGCGACGAUCCGUAGCUGGUCUGAGAGGAUGAUCAGCCACACUGGAACUGAGACACGGUCCAGACCCCUACGGGAGGCAGCAGUGGGGAAUAUUGGACAAUGGGCGCAAGCCUGAUCCAGCCAUACCGCGUGGGUGAAGAAGGCCUUCGGGUUGUAAAGCCCUUUUGUUGGGAAAGAAAAGCAGCAGGUUAAUACCCCGCUGUUCUGACGUUACCCAAAGAAUAAGCACCGGCUAACUUCGUG